This 441-nucleotide ribosomal RNA is filed under the name uncultured bacterium. Its description in RNAcentral is "partial 16S ribosomal RNA". It matches the Rfam family "Bacterial small subunit ribosomal RNA", at positions 338 to 795 of the family's 1533-position model. The record is from RNAcentral.
CCUACGCGUGGCAGCAGUGGGGAAUAUUGCACAAUGGGGGAAACCCUGAUGCAGCGACGCCGCGUGAGUGAAGAAGUAUUUCGGUAUGUAAAGCUCUAUCAGCAGGAACGAGACAAGACGGUACCUGACUAAGAAGCCCCGGCUAACUACGUGACAGCAGCCGCGGUAAUACGUAGGGGGCAAGCGUUAUCCGGAAGCAAUGGGUGUAAAGGGAGCGUAGACGGCUGAGCAAGCAUGAAGUGAAAGGCCGGGGCCCAACCCCCGGACUGCUUUGGGAACUGUACGGCUGGAGUGCAGGAGAGGUAAGUGGAAUUCCUGGUGUAGCGGUGAAAUGCGUAGAUAUUAGGAGGAACACCAGUGGCGAAGGCGGCUUACUGGACUGUAACUGACGUUGAGGCUCGAAAGCGUGGGGAGCAAACAGGAUUAGAUACCCGAGUAGUC